Molecule: ribosomal RNA, 398 nt
Filed under: uncultured soil bacterium
Lineage: Bacteria
Description: bacterial SSU rRNA
Rfam family: Bacterial small subunit ribosomal RNA
Source: RNAcentral
AGAUUGAACGCUAGCGGGAUGCUUUACACAUGCAAGUCGAACGGCAGCGCGGACUUCGGUCUGGCGGCGAGUGGCGAACGGGUGAGUAAUAUAUCGGAACGUGCCCAGUAGCGGGGGAUAACUACGCGAAAGCGUGGCUAAUACCGCAUACGCCCUACGGGGGAAAGGGGGGAUCGCAAGACCUCUCACUAUUGGAGCGGCCGAUAUCAGAUUAGCUAGUUGGUGAGGUAAAGGCUCACCAAGGCGACGAUCUGUAGCUGGUUUGAGAGGACGACCAGCCACACUGGGACUGAGACACGGCCCAGACUCCUACGGGAGCAGCAGUGGGGAAUUUGGACAAUGGGGGAAACCUGAUCCAGCCAUCCCGCGUGUGCGAUGAAGGCCUCGGUUGUAAGACA